AAUUGGUGAUGGAGACAUUGGCUUAUGAAGAGAUUAUAAUGCUCUUAAACUUCAUAAAACAAUUCUCCAUCUUGUUGUGUGAAAAAGUGGAUCUUGUCCCUUAAUUC
Prosopis cineraria is the source of this 107-nucleotide small nucleolar RNA. Lineage: Eukaryota; Viridiplantae; Streptophyta; Magnoliopsida; Fabales; Fabaceae. The record is from RefSeq and is a predicted model, not a curated record.